RNAcentral lists this long non-coding RNA (247 nucleotides) under Mytilus galloprovincialis (Mediterranean mussel). The record is from RNAcentral. Lineage: Eukaryota; Metazoa; Mollusca; Bivalvia; Mytilida; Mytilidae.
CACCAUCAUUUUAUGAUAUGUAUAUGGAUGUUCAGCUGUGGUGUGUGAUAAAAUUUCUCUCCGGGACAAUCUGUAUCAAUACGUCAGGACGUGUCAGUCCAACUUACUUACUUUUACAUAAAAUUGUGAAAUAAAGGCAACAGUAGUAUACCGCUGUUUGAAAUUCAUAAAUCGAUUGAGGAAAAAACAAAUCCGGGUUACAAACUAAAACUGAGGGAAACAUAUCAAAUAUAAGAGGAGAACAACG